Molecule: non-coding RNA, 45 nt
Filed under: Schistosoma mansoni
Lineage: Eukaryota; Metazoa; Platyhelminthes; Trematoda; Strigeidida; Schistosomatidae
Source: RNAcentral
CUCCAUAUGACGAGUCCCAAACAGGACGAAACUCACACCCUGGAU